GACGAACGCUGGCGGCGUGCUUAACACAUGCAAGUCGAACGGAAAGGCCCUGCUUUUGUGGGGUGCUCGAGUGGCGAACGGGUGAGUAACACGUGAGUAACCUGCCCUUGACUUUGGGAUAACUUCAGGAAACUGGGGCUAAUACCGGAUAGGAGCUCCUGCUGCAUGGUGGGGGUUGGAAAGUUUCGGCGGUUGGGGAUGGACUCGCGGGUUAUCAGCUUGUUGGUGGGGUAGUGGCUUACCAAGGGUUUGACGGGUAGCCGGCCUGAGAGGGUGACCGGCCACAAUGGGACUGAGGUACGGCCCAGACUCCUACGGGAGGCAGCGGGGGGGAAUAUUGCGCAAUGGGCGGAAGCCUGAUGCAGCAGCGCCGCGUGCGGGAUGACGGCCUUCGGGUUGUGAACCACUUUCGCCUGUGACGAGGCGUGAGUGACGGUAAUGGGUAAAGAAGCACCGGCUAACUACGUG
This 468-nucleotide ribosomal RNA is filed under the name uncultured bacterium. RNAcentral describes it as "partial 16S ribosomal RNA". It matches the Rfam family "Bacterial small subunit ribosomal RNA", at positions 28 to 507 of the family's 1533-position model. The record is from RNAcentral.